Molecule: ribosomal RNA, 900 nt
Filed under: uncultured archaeon
Lineage: Archaea
Description: bacterial SSU rRNA
Rfam family: Archaeal small subunit ribosomal RNA
Source: RNAcentral
UUUCCGGUUGAUCCCGCCAGACCUGACUGCUAUCGGAUUGAUACUAAGCCAUGCGAGUCAUUGUAGUAAUACAAGGCAUACGGCUCAGUAACGCGUAGUCAACCUAACCUAUGGACGGGAAUAACCUCGGGAAACUGAGUAUAAUGCCCGAUAGAACAUUAUGCCUGGAAUGGUUUAUGUUCCAAAUGAUUUAUCGCCGUAGGAUGGGACUGCGGCCUAUCAGUUUGUUGGUGAGGUAAUGGCCCACCAAGACUAUUACAGGUACGGGCUCUGAGAGGAGUAGCCCGGAGAUGGGUACUGAGACACGGACCCAGGCCCUAUGGGGCGCAGCAGGCGAGAAAACUUUGCAAUGUGCGAAAGCACGACAAGGUUAAUCCGAGUGGUUUCUGCUAAAGGAACCUUUUGUUAGUCCUAGAAACACUAACGAAUAAGGGGUGGGCAAGUUCUGGUGUCAGCCGCCGCGGUAAAACCAGCACCUCAAGUGGUCAGGAUGAUUAUUGGGCCUAAAGCAUCCGUAGCCGGAUCUGUAAGUUUUCGGUUAAAUCUGUACGCUCAACGUACAGGCUGCCGGGAAUACUGCAGAUCUAGGGAGUGGGAGAGGUAGACGGUACUCGGGAGGAAGGGGUAAAAUCCUUUGAUCUCUCGAUGACCACCUGUGGCGAAGGCGGUCUACCAGAACACGUCCGACGGUGAGGGAUGAAAGCUGGGGGAGCAAACCGGACUAGAUACCCGGGUAGUCCCAGCUGUAAACUAUGCAAACUCAGUGAUGCAUUGACUUGUGGUCAAUGCAGUGCUGCAGGGAAGCCGUUAAGUUUGCCGCCUGGGAAGUACGUACGCAAGUAUGAAACUUAAAGGAAUUGGCGGGGGAGCACCACAAGGGGUGAAGCCUGCGGUUCAAUU